GACGAACGCUGGCGGCGUGCCUAACACAUGCAAGUCGAGCGGAGUCGAUCGACGGAAGCCUUCGGGCGGAAGAUGGUUGACUUAGCGGCGGAUGGGUGAGUAACGCGUGGGCAACCUGCCUCGAAGACCGGGAUAACAGCCCGAAAGGGCUGCUAAUACCGGAUGUGGUCAAGGAUCCGCAUGGAUUUUUGAUUAAAGGGGAAACCCGUUUCGAGAUGGGCCCGCGUCCUAUCAGCUAGUUGGUGAGGUAAAAGCUCACCAAGGCGACGACGGGUAGCCGGCCUGAGAGGGUGACCGGCCACACUGGAACUGAGACACGGUCCAGACUCCUACGGGGGCAGCAGUGGGGAAUCUUCCACAAUGGGCGAAAGCCUGAUGGAGCGACGCCGCGUGAGCGAAGAAGGCCUUCGGUUGUAAAGCUCUGUCUGGAGGGACGAAGGAAGUGACGGUACCUCCGGAGGAAGCCACGGCUAACUACGUGCCAGCAGCCGCGGUAAACACGAGAAGUA
Molecule: ribosomal RNA, 509 nt
Filed under: uncultured bacterium
Lineage: Bacteria
Description: bacterial SSU rRNA
Rfam family: Bacterial small subunit ribosomal RNA
Source: RNAcentral